Pan troglodytes (chimpanzee) is the source of this 5222-nucleotide long non-coding RNA. Lineage: Eukaryota; Metazoa; Chordata; Mammalia; Primates; Hominidae. The record is from Ensembl.
UAUUACCACCCAAAGGGGUGGCUUUACUUAUAGGGCUACCUAGAGGGGAAGAAGAACCAAGUCAGGCUAAAAAUCCAUGACAGAGAGUCAAUGAGUCAAUCAGUCAACACACAUACACACACACACACACACACACACACACACACACACACACACACACAAUAUUUAAUAACUCUAAUAAUUGAUGAUAAUAUGAAAGUCUGGAAGUGUCUAUACAAUAAAUAUGUUAAAUCUGACUAAAAUUAAAUGAGAUAGCAGAAAAUGUAAUAAAAAUAUGAUAUAAAGAAAGAAAAGAACCAAAUACUACUUCUAGAAAAGAAUAGAGAAAAUAAAGACUUUUUUUAAAAGCCUUCAUGAACAAAUUAAACACCAGAACAGACACAGCUGAAGAGAGAACCUAUAAACUGGAAAACAGAUCUGAAUGCAGCACUACAAAAUAUAAAGCCAGCAAGACCUCUUAGGGAGUUCCAGGUGGAUGGGAAAAGGGGACCAAAUGAGUUCAUCACCAGAAGCAGGCCUCAGAAGAGAAGGUUGGCCUGAAAUAUCAGAGAAAAGAAACCUAGCUGGGGACAAACAGGACCAGUGGAAGAAUCCAUCUGAACCCAAACCAAACCAGAAGCUUCCACAUGGCACUUCAAACACAGUAGUUCAGUUUUGCAGAACUCUGUACUAUUCUAGUCCCACCCAUCUUCUGAGGGAACUCUUCCCAGGAGCAACCUCAUUUGCUGGGAGAUGUGGUUUCCAUAAGGAUAUGAAACUAUUUCACUAUCCUGUCCUGCCAUAUGGUCACACUUAUCUGGUGACAUUCUGGACUCAGCACGAUAGAUGUGCCCUCACAUGCAAUGAACAGCAUUCCAGUACUUAAUCCUUACAGACUUUCGGAGGAACUCCCUCACAUCACCCACAGUAGAAGUAACAUGAGAAAGCACACAGUCAUCUCUUGCAUCCAUGUCCUAUCCAUGCUUUUGCAUUGCUGACAAGUGACGGGUGGGCUCUGACAUCAGGAGAUGCAAAUGGCUGAUGAUUCAGACGGUUGUUUGGUAAGUAAACCUGGGUAAACCCUCAAAAUGCAAUGUUUAUUUUUUCUCCUGACCACAAUAAUCUGAAAAUACCCUCAGAUUGUAAGAAUCAUUAUAAAACAGCCUUUUUCUGGCUCACUACCCACAUACCAGAAUUGGGAUAACUCUACUGAAAACUUGCCUACCCUGAUAGGAAUGGAAUAUUUCUGACAAGCUUACACAUGUUCACCUCUUUCUAGCAUCACCUUCAUUGCUAUCAUGUCUACUAUAAUUAUCGUGCAUUGGCAGCCAUGAGGAAUAUUUUGCAUAUAUUAUAUAAAUUAAUCUCCCAAUAACAUUCAAGGCAGAUACUAUGAAAAUUUCCACUUCACUGAUGAAUAAACUGCCCACUGCCACAGAGUAAGUACACAGCAUAGUCCUUAUUUUAAAAACUUUUCAUCACAGAAAACAUCUUUUCCUCCUUUCUCCAGUGACCCUCUGUGUGAUCUCCUACUCAAUUUCUAGCUACGUGGGUUCCCUGGUCAUUUCAGGGAUGUUUCCUUCUGAAAUAGCUUCCGGGUUUAUAGGUUCUCCUUAUCUCUGUUCUUCAGUGUCUUCAAGUGGUUAUAUAACUAAUGAGGGAACUCACCCCAAAUGCCCUUGUCACAUGCUAUUGGGAAACAUACUUAAAGCAGGGAUGUCCAGUGUUGUCCUUGAUUACAGAGAUUGAUGGGAAUUUGUUUCACAAGAAGUUGUUUUCUUACAGUAUAUUGUUAAAAGCUCCCAGGGCCAGGAGUGGCAAAAAUGCCAUUUAAAUGACUCGCCAUGCUUGUUUUAUUCAAAAUGGCUACCCCUUUAUCCAGAAAAUCACUUUUUUUGGAUCAAACAUCAUUCUUCAGCUCCCUUCCAUUCUUUCACUUAUUCAGUCAUUUAUUUCUAACAUACUUAUUGUGUGUCUUCUAUGAGUCAGGACCUCUUCUGGGUGUUGGGUGAACACCACCACAUUAUACUAAUUAGUGUCUACACUAACAAAGUAGACAUCACUGAAGACCUCAGUGAAUUUGGUAUUUAGUAAGGAACCAACAGACAAGUUUAAACCUGAAACAGAAUAAGAUAGUUGCUCUAACAGGGCUAUGGGCCAGAUAGGGGAGAGAAUCAUCAGAUAGGUUGGAAACCCACCCAUGAGGCUCCUUGGCUCACGUCCUGCCUGCCUGGCUGACCCUCCAGGCAUUCCCGGACAUGUCUGAAUAUUCAGGAUGUACACAUUUUGGGCUCCCAUUCUAGGACCCUGUUGGACUUGGAACAUUGCCAGUCUCCUCUUGGUUGGCACUGUGGUCUAAAAGAGGGUAGAAAGAGAGUAAGUUCUACAUGUGGCAGAAUAGAGGUUUCAUCCUCAUCCCCUUUCCCUGCUUCCUGGACACAGUGGUUACUUAUUUACCCCUUAUCUUUUGGAGCUGGGAUCAAUGCUAAGCUAGAAUUAGAGAAGAGUAUCACUGGAAAAAAAAAAAAAAACAGGAAAAAAGAAGGCUGCAACCCUGUUAGAAUAAAAUACAGGGAAAGUAUAGUCUAGGAAGAGGCAAGUGUUAGCUGGUAAACGAUUUUUUAGUCUGUUGAGAUAUGUCAGCGUGAGAUUAGUGAAGAAAGUGCAUUUUCCUUCACCACCUUCUCUUAAAUAUUGGACCAGGGCGACUUAAAUCUUCUAAGUGCCUUACCUGGCCUCUAGUCUUCCUGAUGCAAUAGUCCUUAGAAUGGAAAAUGGUGAUAACAAUAGCUAUUUUUUUUAUUUUAUGCUUUAUUAAGCACUUAUUACGCUCCAGACUGUACUAAGCAUUUUGCCUGUAUUAUUUCAUUAUAGCCUCAAAAUAACACUGUGGAGAAGGUACUAUUAGCAUCCCCAUUUUAUAGGGCAGUGGAGACAUAGAAAAGAAAAGCAACUUGCCCAAGGCCCAAUGUGAGUAAAAGGUGAAAUGAGAAUUUUAUCCCAGGCACUUGGAAUCUAGAGCUCCACACUCCACUGAAUGAAUGUAUUCUGUAUUCUCGAUUAUCUCAUUUUACUUUUAAAUUUCUGGUAAUAAACUAUACUAUAGUUUUAUGCUCCUGUAAGGUAUCAACUAAAGUGUUAAAUAGAAGCAAGGUAUCAAGAUUGAGGCCUUCCAUCAUGAGACAUUAUUGAAGGUGCAUCUUCAAAAGUUUUUGCUUUGGGGAAAACUUUAGUAAUUACAGUACAAGACAAAUAAUUUAAAACCCCAAAAGCUGUGGAUAUGUAAGUGUUGAGCUUUAUUUCUUGUAUUUAGGAUGGAGCUUCAUUCCAGUGUGAGAAUUUAUGCCUUGGUGCGCUGACCGUUCCAUAAAUCUAAAUAAAGCCUCACAAUGUUCCAUGUACUAUGACAGGUGGGGGAUGCAGAGAAUAGUGAGUAGGAGCAUAAAAUCUGGAGCAGAAAUGGCUGCAUCUGAAUCCUGGUACUACUACUGGGUAAGACUGGGAAACACACUUUAAUGUUCCUUGCUGUCAAAUGGAGGUAAGAUGGCACUUGUAGGGUUGUAGUGAAGGAGAAUUAAGAACAAUGUUAUCUUCCACAAUUAUCAGACAUAGUUUAAUUACCAGGACAUAGUGCCUGCUAUUAAACUGGACAUGAAUGUGAACAGGUGGAUACCCAGAUAUAGGUGUGAAAAGAGAACAGGGCUUUGACACAGCCAGUGGCCAGAUUUAAGGAAAGGUGUCAGAGACAGUGGGGUGUAAAGCUGAAUUCUCAAAGAUCCACAGGUGUGUCCCUGAUUAGCAAGGCAAAAGGAGGCAUUGCUGGUGAAGGGAACAGCCAUGAAAAUGGAAAUGGCAAGAGUGAGGCCAAGCAGUCAGUCUUAGGGAACUGCAAAUUAAGAACUAUGCCUGGAUUUAGGAUUCUAAUGGGGGCAUUGUUAGAGUUUGAGUCUAGAGAGAAAGGAAAGCCUUUAGAUCUCAUUAAGGAGUUCAGACUUUAUGCUAUGGGCGAUAGGAAUCCAUGGAAAAUCCUUGUUUCAUUUGUUUCUGUCUUUUGUUCACUUCUUCUUCUUUUUUUUUUUUGACAGAAUCUCGUUCCUUUGCCCAGGCUGGAGUUCAGUGGUGCUAUCUUGGCUCAGUGCAACCUCUGCCUCCCAGGUUCAAGUGAUACUCCUGCCUCAGCCUCUUGAGUAACUAAGACUACAGGUGCACGCUACCACGCCUGGCUAAUUUUUGUAUUUUCAGUAGAGAUGGGGUUUCACCAUGUUGGCCAGGUUGAUCUCGAACUUCUGACCUCAAGCGAUACACCUGCCUCAUCCUCCCAAAGUGCUGGGAUUACAGGUGUCAGUCACCAUGCCAGGCCUCACUUCAUUGUUUUUUAACUUUCAUUUUUUUAAAUCAAAAAGAGCUUUUGAAAAUUUCCUUCCAAGUAGUGAAAUAUUGUGUAAACAUUAACUUAUGGACAAAUUGCAAGUCAUAUUUUAAAAUUACCUAAAAUCCCACAACCCAGAGGAAACACGCACUGACAUUUUGCUGAACAUCUCUCUUAGAACACACAUAUAUGAUUUUAGUGAACUGAUUAAUAAUAUUUUAUAAAAUGCUUAUUAAUAAUAUCCUAUGGAAACCUUUCCAUAUCAAUAAAUAAAGGCCUAUAUUAGCAUUUUAAUGGCUGUAGAGUUCUCUCUUUUAUGGAGGUAAAGCAGUUUAUUUACCCGAUCUUUACUGAUUUGAAAAAAAAAAGUUUAAUUUCUAAGCAGUAAGCAGUGCUUCAAUAAACAACUGAGAACACAAUGCAAUAAAACCAUAAAAUAAUGGAUGGAAUAGAUAAUAUAGCAAAUAGUUUGUUGAAAAUUAAAAAACAAACAAACAAAACUCACUUCUUUAACCUGCUGUUGAAUGAGAAAAGAACAUGGCCAGUACCUUAGUAGAGGUUUAUUUAUUCAAGAAUUCAGUACCUCAUCUCUUAUUUAUUGAGCAUCAAAGAUGUGCCUGACCCUGUUCUGAUAAUGGGGUGCAAUGGUAAACAAGUCAGAGAAGAUACAUUUCUUACAGCUUACAUUUUAGCACAGGGGGCAGAUGAUAAACUAAUAAAGACGCAAGAACAUAUUAGGUAGCCAUGAGCACUGUGGAGAGAAUUAACACAGGGUAGUACAACAGACUAGAGGAUCACAUUUGUUGGGUCACCUGAAAAGACUUCUCUUAGGAACUGCUAUUAAGGCUGAGAAAUGAAUGACAAAAGAAUCCAG